UUCGUUUUCUCUUUUGUUUUCUCGGUCUCAAACGUUUUUCGCCAAAACCUCCGAGAACCUCCGCCAUGAUUUCAGAAACACCUCCACCAUGAAAGAAGAACAACGGCUAUGAAAAAUCUGAGACGUGACAUCAGAUUUUAACCCAGGUUGUACAUCUUUGUAGUAAUAGAUGGUAAAGAAGUCUUCAUUCUACGUCGUAGCCCGAGAAUCAUAGAGCACACUCGAAUUCAGCAGUUGAUAGAAACAUCGACUGAACAUAACACAUUACCAGAACUCCGUGGAAGUCCUAGAAUUGUUGACUAAUCUCGAAUUCAAGAGAAGAUGGAUAUGAUAAAUGAAAGGAAAAAGCAACGUCGCCAUGAUUUGGAUCCCCAUAAAAGAUCUCAUGAGCUAUAGCAGCGCCGAAUUCUUGAGAGAGCCAAACAAAGCUCAAUGACAAUGCAUGAAAGGGAAGCUUUCCUUGAAAAGCGACGUAAUCAAUACCGAAUCCGGUCAUCACAACAACUGACUCCAGAACAAAAAUGGAGAACAAGCUGGAACGAGUAAUGUGAACUUCUCAAAGCAGCUUGGUGAUUGUGAUUAUGUACACCGCGGAGCGGGUGGUGCAGACUGAUGGUAGCCAGAUGAUGGACUGGUGGCGCUUUGUUGUUGCUGGCAUGUGUUGUGGACUGUAUGGAAUGGAGGUGAUGUAUGAAGGUUAGGUGGUGAUGCAAGUAAUGGCAUUAUGAGAUGGAAAUGGUGGUCGCAGGUGAAAAGAGACUUGGUGGUGUGUUGUGAAGAUGAGAUGUUGCUGUUUAUGGAGUCUGCAAGGUGAAAGUUUGUUAUACGUGAAAUGGGAAUGAUGGGGGAUGGUCUGAAGAGGAGCAAAGCUUCUCUCUGCUUUCGAGCAGCUCAAACUGUCCGUUGCAGCAUCUAGAAAGCAACAACCUUAGUUAUGUUCGGAAGAGUAGGGAAUGGAAUGUGCUCUUGGUAAUAGCAUCCUUGGAAGGAAGGAAUUUUAUGCAAGGCAUGUGCCCUAGGUGUCACAACUGAAUGCAAAAUGGAUACAACUAUGCAGGAUGAUGGUCAAGUUGUUAAUGUCAUUGACACACCAGGUAUACAUUGCACUUGCAUAAUUUUGCAUUUGAAUUAUCUUUUCUUUUUCUAUGUUUCCACAACAAAUAUAAAAUCUCAAGUGAGGUACCUUACCAAAUUCCCAUGAGUCAUUUUUUUUUCAAGUUUUUUCUGGGAAUUGUAAAUUUCGCACAUGAGAUGGUCAAAUGUAUUAAUCUCGCGAAAGAUGGGAUUGAUGGACAAUUUGAUCAGAGUAUUGCAGGAAGUGCUCUUUUGGAUCUACUUCUUUUAUAUCAUCCAGGAACUGUCCGUUUAACCAUGAUCCUUACACAAUGAUGUCGGCCUUUGGGAGCGCCAUUAGAGAGAAAAUCUGAAGGAUGUGAUGAAAAGAAACUUUUUGGGUCCUGAUGCUGAGAUGAACGCCCAGAAUUCUUAAAGUUAAAUGGUGCGGACUGUUAAAUGAUUGUUGAAUAUAAAUAUCUUCUCUAACUUCUUUUGUAUAUGUUAGUAAUUGAUUUAGUACUAACCAAAGACCAACUUGAAAUGUGGUAUCGUAUAUGGUGGUCAUUAUGUAGUUUUUUUUUUUCCUUU
Long non-coding RNA from Papaver somniferum (opium poppy), 1644 nucleotides. RefSeq lists it as uncharacterized. The transcript is spliced from 3 exons. Lineage: Eukaryota; Viridiplantae; Streptophyta; Magnoliopsida; Ranunculales; Papaveraceae. The record is from RefSeq and is a predicted model, not a curated record.